RNAcentral lists this long non-coding RNA (2843 nucleotides) under Daphnia pulex (common water flea). RNAcentral describes it as "uncharacterized LOC124195535, transcript variant X7". The record is from RNAcentral. Lineage: Eukaryota; Metazoa; Arthropoda; Branchiopoda; Diplostraca; Daphniidae.
ACGCGUCAUGUGGUGUAGAGGUUGGGUGAGAAAGGGACGUGUUUCAUUAUCAAGCAGGUACAAUACCCGCAAGGCUUAGAAGGUGAGGGUGAGAAAAAAAUUUGUAUAAAAGGAGAGAGAAAAGGAUACAGACAUCAGUUGGGUGAGCAUCACCGACACGGCAACAACUCCUGUGGACUGCCUGUACCAACUGGCUUCUUCAUCACAUUACCAGCUCGCAACAUUUGCCAGUUAUUACACCACCAAGGUUCCAGGGAAUACCAUCACAGCUUGUGAUUUCCAGAGCCACUACACCGAUGCCGUGAAUUGUAGAUUAUAGACAUCUUAUCCUUCAGUUGCUGCAAGCAACCCAUCCUCAUCAGCGACGUCAACCUGCAGAAGGAUAGGCCAGUUUGCUUCGAAGGUCACGAAAAUCAUUACGUAAAACGUGUCGUGUGGUGUAGAGGUUGGGUGAGAAAGGGAUCUGUUGCAUCUUUAUCAAGCAGGUACAAUACCCGCAAGGCUUAAGAGGUGAGGGUGAGAAAAAAAUUCGUAUAAAAGGAGAGAGAAAAGGAUACAGACAUCAGUUGGGUGAGCAUCACCGACACGGCAACAACUCCUGUGGACUGCCUGUACCAACUGGCUUCUUCAUCGCAUUACCAGCUCGCAACAAUUGUUCGCAGUUAUGGUCAACUAUGAUGUCGUGCUGCUGUCGGAUGUUGUAUCGUUGAUGGCUGGGUCGACCACUAGUUUGCCAAUGUCUUUUGGGCACGGACACCAAACCGCAAUGCCGGCGCCCUACUACACAACAACAGCAUACGCUUCAGCCGGUUAUUACACCAUCAAGGCUCCAGGGAACUACACCACAACUUAUGAUGUCCAGAGCUACUACACCGACGUCCUGAAUUAUAGUUAUCCUUCAGUUGCUGCAAGCAUGUUGUUCUGCUGCUGCUGGGUGUUGUAUUUAGCUGAUGGGCCAGGAUUCAGACCCAAAACCUAAAAGUAGAGAAGGAAGGUGAUAGAUCAGUUGAGUGAGCAUCUCCGAUCCGGCAACAGUUGCAGCUGCACUCUUCCAAUUCUCAAUUAUAGGGCUUUGUGCUGCUGUUGAAUGUUGUAUCGUUGCUGGCUGAGUCGACCACUGGUGUACCGAUGUUCCCUGGGUAUGGCGGAUACCAAGCCGCAACGCUGUUGUCUUACUACACAACAACAUAGGUGACGACCUGUUACUACACCGGGACUUCCAAUGACUACACCGAAAAGGCUGAAUAUUACACAAGGACGUAUGCUACUCCAGUUUACUACACCGAGGAACCUAAGCAUUACUUUGCUCCGAGCUACAACAGAGGCUCCUGUUAAGUACACCACCAACGCAUCUGAAUGUUAUAGAUAAUCUACGCUGCCCUCAACUACUACACUGAAGCUUCGAAGUGCUACACCAUCAAUAUACAAUCAAUAAGCAACGUGAUGUUUCCUGGGUAUGGCGGCUGGCGGGUAUUAAACCGCAACGCUUCUGUCUUAUUACUCAACAACAUACGUAACGAACUGUUACUACACCGGGACUUCCAACUACUACAACGAAACAGCAGAAUAUUACACAACUACGUGUACUACCCCAGUUUACUACACCGAGGAACCUAAGCUUUUUACAAGUUAAUAACUCUGCUCCGAGCUACUACCAUACACUCUCAACGCCCACGAGUGUUACAAUACAACCUACGCUGCCCCCAACUACUACAAUGAUGCUCCGAAAUAUUACACCAUCAAGGCACAACCAAUUCGCAAUCUUGGAUUACUAAGGUGUUGUGCUGCUGUUGGGUGUUGUAUUGUUGAUGGCUGGUCGACCACGAGUGUACCGAUGUCUCCUGGGUAUGGUGGUUUUCAAGCACUAGCAGCAAUAGAAGAGUACACCACAAUGCUGCCUUACUACUUAAAAACGAUAACGUAUGCAACACCUACUUACAACACUGAUGCUCGUAAAUACUGCACCUCCAAGGCUCCAAGAAUACUACACGAAUAUCUACGCUGCUCCGAGGUACUGCACGGAAGUAUCAGACCCCGACUAACAUCAACAAGACGUCUGAGUACUACACUGAGGAUCUUAAAUAGUACACCACCAAAGGUACUACACCGAGGCUGCAGUUUAUUAAACUACCAAAUCGGUCGAGUACCGAGUACCAAGUACUACCCCUUAACCAACAACAACUGCCAUAAUCGGAUGAAAUGUUCGCAAUCAUGGGAUGGCAUCGUUGGAAGCUGGGUAGAUUAUUGGUGUACUGAGGGUCCUGGAUAUGGCGUUGUAUCACCCACGGCAAAGUGCAUCACGUAAACUACAUCAAGAUUUUUAGGUACUACACCAUCAAGGCACCGGCACCGGAAUACUACACUACGCAAACUGCCCCUGCCUACUAAACCGUGGACCUUAAUUACAACAACAACCGGCGACAAUUGCACUCUUCCAAUUCUCAAUGAAAGUUAACUAUGGUUUCGUGCUGCUGUUAAGUGUUGUAUCGUUGAUGGUUGAGUGGACCACUGGUGUAUCGAUGUUGCCUGUGUAUGGCGGAUAUUAAACCGCAACACCACUGUCUUGCUACACAACAAAAUACGUAAAGACCAGUUGCUACUCUGGGCUUAUCUAUUGCUGAACCGAAAUGGCCGAAAAUUACACAUCCACGUAUGCUACCUCAGUUUACUACACCGAGGAAUUCAAGUGCUACUGUGCUCCGAGAAACGACAGAGCUGUUUACUACACCACCAACGCCACAGAAUGUUAAACUACAACCUACGCUGCCCACAACUUCACUGAAGCUCCGAAGUACUACACCAUCAAGGCACAACCAAUUCGCAAUCAAGGGUGAAUAUGCUUU